UCUAGGUUAGGUUAAUUUAAACCCCUUGUUUGUGGCACAAGGAAUAUAUUUUAUAUACUUAGAA
Molecule: transfer RNA, 64 nt
Filed under: Ancyrocephalus mogurndae
Lineage: Eukaryota; Metazoa; Platyhelminthes; Monogenea; Dactylogyridea; Ancyrocephalidae
Description: tRNA-His
Source: RNAcentral